This 756-nucleotide ribosomal RNA is filed under the name uncultured archaeon. RNAcentral's name for it is "bacterial SSU rRNA". It matches the Rfam family "Archaeal small subunit ribosomal RNA", at positions 102 to 857 of the family's 1478-position model. The record is from RNAcentral.
GGAUAACCUACCCUUAGGACUAGGAUAACCCUGGGAAACUGGGGCUAAUACCGGAUAGGCAAUUAUUCCUGGAAUGGUUUUUUGUUUAAAUGUUUUUUCGCCUAAGGAUGGGUCUGCGGCCGAUUAGGUAGUUGGUUAGGUAAUGGCUUACCAAGCCGUUGAUCGGUACGGGUUGUGAGAGCAAGAGCCCGGAGAUGGAACCUGAGACAAGGUUCCAGGCCCUACGGGGUGCAGCAGGCGCGAAACCUCCACAAUGUGAGAAAUCGCGACGGGGGGAUCCCAAGUGCCAUUCUUAACGGGAUGGCUUUUCAUUAGUGUAAAGAGCUUUUGGAAUAAGAGCUGGGCAAGACCGGUGCCAGCCGCCGCGGUAACACCGGCAGCUCUAGUGGUAACAAUUUUUAUUGGGCCUAAAGCGUCCGUAGCCGGUUUAAUAAGUCUCUGGUGAAAUCCUGUAGCUUAACUGUGGGAAUUGCUGGAGAUACUAUUAGACUUGAGACCGGGAGAGGUUAGAGGUACUCCCAGGGUAGAGGUGAAAUUCUGUAAUCCUGGGAGGACCGCCUGUUGCGAAGGCGUCUAACUGGAACGGUUCUGACGGUGAGGGACGAAAGUUAGGGGCGCGAACCGGAUUAGAUACCCGGGUAGUCCUAACUGUAAACGAUGCGGACUUGGUGUUGGGGUGGCUUUGAGCUGCUCCAGUGCCGAAAGGGAAGCUGUUAAGUCCGCCGCCUGGGAAGUACGGUCGCAAGACUGAAACUU